GGGGAGUACGGUCGCAAGACCGAAACUCAAAGGAAUUGACGGGGGCCUGCACAAGUGGUGGAGCAUGUGGUUUAAUUCGAUACAACGCGCAAAACCUUACCAGCACUUGACAUAUGAACAACAAAACCUGUCCUUAACAGGAUGGUACUGACUUUCAUACAGGUGCUGCAUGGUUGUCGUCAGUUCGUGUCGUGAGAUGUGUGGUCAAGUCCUAUAACGAGCGAAACCCACGUUUUGUGUUGCCGAGACAUGCGCCUAAGGAGAAAUUGCCACCGAGUGACGUGCCAGCACUACUACUUGAUUGAGUGCCAGCACGUAGCUGUGCUUUCAGCAAGAAUUUCACCAUUGGGAGCCGGUGCCUUUCGAAGCACUUUCACGUGUGAACCGAAGUCGUCUUGCCCAAGACCCACGGAGACCUACCUAUAGUGACGUCAAAGUACCAGUGAGCAUGUAGGUUCGGUUGAAAUUGGUUACGACGAUGUCGAGUUGGCGGCGGAGGAAGACUCGGCAUGAAGGCCAGAAAAUGGUGUGGAACGUAGUGGUAAUAGUACGCGCCCCGCUCCGAAACAAAGAAAAAGGUGCGUGCCGCACUCACGAGGGACUGCCAGUGAGAUACUGGAGGAAGGUGGGGAUGAUGUCAAGUCCGCAUGGCCCUUAUGGGCUGGGCCACACACGUGCUACAAUGGCAAUGACAAUGGGAAGCAAGGCUGUAAGGCAGAGCGAAUCCGGAAAGAUUGCCUCAGUUCGGAUUGUUCUCUGCAACUCGGGAACAUGAAGUUGAAAUAGCUAGUAAUCGCGGAUCAGCAUGCCACGGUGAAUAUGUACCCAGGCCCUGUACACACCGCCCGUCACACCCUGGGAAUUGGUUUCGCCCGAAGCAUCAGACCAAUGAUCACCCAUGACUUCUAUGUACCACUAGUGCCACAAAGGCCUUUGGUGGUCUUAUUGGCGCAUACCAUGGUGGGGUCUUCGACUAGGGUGAAGUCGUAACAAGGUAGCCGUAGGGGAACCUGUGGCUG
Molecule: ribosomal RNA, 1019 nt
Filed under: Triticum aestivum (bread wheat)
Lineage: Eukaryota; Viridiplantae; Streptophyta; Magnoliopsida; Poales; Poaceae
Description: rRNA SSU_rRNA_eukarya
Rfam family: Bacterial small subunit ribosomal RNA
Source: RNAcentral